Molecule: ribosomal RNA, 429 nt
Filed under: Chloroflexota bacterium
Lineage: Bacteria; Bacillati; Chloroflexota
Description: Chloroflexi bacterium partial 16S ribosomal RNA
Rfam family: Bacterial small subunit ribosomal RNA
Source: RNAcentral
UGGGGAAUAUUGCACAAUGGGCGCAAGCCUGAUGCAGCCAUGCCGCGUGUAUGAAGAAGGCCUUCGGGUUGUAAAGUACUUUCAGCGGGGAGGAAGGGAGUAAAGUUAAUACCUUUGCUCAUUGACGUUACCCGCAGAAGAAGCACCGGCUAACUCCGUGCCAGCAGCCGCGGUAAUACGGAGGGUGCAAGCGUUAAUCGGAAUUACUGGGCGUAAAGCGCACGCAGGCGGUCUGUCAAGUCGGAUGUGAAAUCCCCGGGCUCAACCUGGGAACUGCAUUCGAAACUGGCAGGCUAGAGUCUUGUAGAGGGGGGUAGAAUUCCAGGUGUAGCGAUGAAAUGCGUAGAGAUCUGGAGGAAUACCGGUGGCGAAGGCGGCCCCCUGGACAAAGACUGACGCUCAGGUGCGAAAGCGUGGGGAGCAAACAGG